This 491-nucleotide ribosomal RNA is filed under the name uncultured bacterium. RNAcentral's name for it is "bacterial SSU rRNA". It matches the Rfam family "Bacterial small subunit ribosomal RNA", at positions 9 to 518 of the family's 1533-position model. The record is from RNAcentral.
AGAGUUGAUCCUGGCUAGGACGAACGCUGGCGGCGUGCCUAACACAUGCAAGUCGAACGAGGAGAUCCUUCGGGAUGAUCCUAGCGGCGGACGGGUGAGUAACACGUGGGCAACCUGCCUCAUAGAGAGGAAUAGCCUUCCGAAAGGGAGAUUAAUACCUCAUAACAUUGCAGUUUCGCAUGGAACAGCAAUUAAAGGAGUAAUCCGCUAUGAGAUGGGCCCGCGGCGCAUUAGCUAGUUGGUGAGGUAACGGCUCACCAAGGCGACGAUGCGUAGCCGACCUGAGAGGGUGAUCGGCCACAUUGGGACUGAGACACGGCCCAGACUCCUACGGGAGGCAGCAGUGGGGAAUAUUGCACAAUGGGGGAAACCCUGAUGCAAGCAACGCCGCGUGAGUGAUGACGGCCUUCGGGUUGUAAAGCUCUGUCUUCAGGGACGAUAAUGACGGUACCUGAGGAGGAAGCCACGGCUAACUACGUGCCAGCCGCUGC